GAGUGGCGGACGGGUGAGUAACACGUGGGUAACCUGCCCUAAAGUGGGGGAUAACAUUUGGAAACAGAUGCUAAUACCGCAUAAAACCUAACACCGCAUGGUGUAGGGUUGAAAGAUGGUUUCGGCUAUCACUUUAGGAUGGACCCGCGGUGCAUUAGUUAGUUGGUGAGGUAAAGGCUCACCAAGACCGUGAUGCAUAGCCGACCUGAGAGGGUAAUCGGCCACACUGGGACUGAGACACGGCCCAGACUCCUACGGGAGGCAGCAGUAGGGAAUCUUCCACAAUGGACGAAAGUCUGAUGGAGCAACGCCGCGUGAGUGAAGAAGGUUUUCGGAUCGUAAAACUCUGUUGUUGGAGAAGAAUGUAUCUGAUAGUAACUGAUCAGGUAGUGACGGUAUCCAACCAGAAAGCCACGGCUAACUACGUGCCAGCAGCCGCGGUAAUACGUAGGUGGCAAGCGUUGUCCGGAUUUAUUGGGCGUAAAGCGAGCGCAGGCGGUUUCUUAAGUCUGAUGUGAAAGCCUUCGGCUCAACCGAAGAAGUGCAUCGGAAACUGGGAAACUUGAGUGCAGAAGAGGACAGUGGAACUCCAUGUGUAGCGGUGAAAUGCGUAGAUAUAUGGAAGAACACCAGUGGCGAAGGCGGCUGUCUGGUCUGUAACUGACGCUGAGGCUCGAAAGCAUGGGUAGCAAACAGGAUUAGAUACCCUGGUAGUCCAUGCCGUAAACGAUGAGUGCUAGGUGUUGGAGGGUUUCCGCCCUUCAGUGCCGCAGCUAACGCAUUAAGCACUCCGCCUGGGGAGUACGACCGCAAGGUUGAAACUCAAAGGAAUUGACGGGGGCCCGCACAAGCGGUGGAGCAUGUGGUUUAAUUCGAAGCAACGCGAAGAACCUUACCAGGUCUUGACAUCCUUUGACCACUCUAGAGAUAGAGCUUUCCCUUCGGGGACAAAGUGACAGGUGGUGCAUGGUUGUCGUCAGCUCGUGUCGUGAGAUGUUGGGUUAAGUCCCGCAACGAGCGCAACCCUUAUUACUAGUUGCCAGCAUUUAGUUGGGCACUCUAGUGAGACUGCCGGUGACAAACCGGAGGAAGGUGGGGACGACGUCAAAUCAUCAUGCCCCUUAUGACCUGGGCUACACACGUGCUACAAUGGAUGGUACAACGAGUUGCGAGACCGCGAGGUUUAGCUAAUCUCUUAAAACCAUUCUCAGUUCGGAUUGUAGGCUGCAACUCGCCUACAUGAAGCCGGAAUCGCUAGUAAUCGCGGAUCAGCAUGCCGCGGUGAAUACGUUCCCGGGCCUGUACACACCGCCCGUCACACCAUGAGAGUUUGUAACACCCAAAGCCGGUGAGGUAACCCUUCGGGGAGCCAGCCGUCUAAGG
Molecule: ribosomal RNA, 1383 nt
Filed under: Latilactobacillus sakei
Lineage: Bacteria; Bacillati; Bacillota; Bacilli; Lactobacillales; Lactobacillaceae
Description: Lactobacillus sakei 16S ribosomal RNA
Rfam family: Bacterial small subunit ribosomal RNA
Source: RNAcentral